Molecule: unclassified non-coding RNA, 488 nt
Filed under: Hevea brasiliensis (rubber tree)
Lineage: Eukaryota; Viridiplantae; Streptophyta; Magnoliopsida; Malpighiales; Euphorbiaceae
Source: RNAcentral
AGCGCCACAAAUAAGUUCAUAGAGACAACGGAUGCGUGAUCAGAUGUGCUUAGCACUUGCAAUUUGGACAAAAGUAAGGCUAUAUAGGUAUCCAUUGUAUCCGCCUCUUCUCCUUAAUCACGAUAUUAAAUAACCAAAUAAUGAUAAUUAGGAUAUAAUAAGAAAUACGAAAGAUUAGAUUUCUAUCCAAAACCCAGAAUCCACAGAAUCUGUUUAUGUCUACGAACUAUCCAUUUCAAGAGGCAGAGUUUCUUCAACCGUGGGAUCUCUUCACAUUUUCAAGCGCAGCCAACAAAUAAAGCACGAAAGGAAAAUUGGAAAUUGAAUUAAAAUCAAAGUAGAAUCCAAAUCUCUAUCCCUAGCUCGAUUUGCACAAAUACAAUAAAGUGAGUUCAAACAGAGAGGGAGAAAGCAGAGAAAUAAAUCUCUGCUUCGAAUUUCUCUUGAACACGAAAAGAUAUCUGGAGCUCCGGCGACCAGAUAGAGAG